This 771-nucleotide non-coding RNA is filed under the name Beta vulgaris subsp. vulgaris (sugar beet). RNAcentral describes it as "Bacterial large subunit ribosomal RNA". It matches the Rfam family "Bacterial large subunit ribosomal RNA", at positions 937 to 1713 of the family's 2925-position model. Lineage: Eukaryota; Viridiplantae; Streptophyta; Magnoliopsida; Caryophyllales; Amaranthaceae. The record is from Rfam by way of RNAcentral.
UACCAAACCGAUGCAAACUCCGAAUACCACAGUGCGAGCAUGGGAGACACACGGCGGGUGCUAACGUCCGUCGUGAAAAGGGAAACAACCCAGACCGUCAGCUAAGGUCCCAAAGUUAUGGUUAAGUGGGAAACGAUGUGGGAAGGCUUAGACAGCUAGGAGGUUGGCUUAGAAGCAGCCACCCUUUAAAGAAAGCGUAAUAGCUCACUAGUCGAGUCGGCCUGCGCGGAAGAUGUAACGGGGCUCAAACCAUACACCGAAGCUACGGGUUCAUCUUAGGAUGAGCGGUAGAGGAGCGUUCUGUAAGCCUGUGAAGGUGAGUUGAGAAGCUUGCUGGAGGUAUCAGAAGUGCGAAUGCUGACAUGAGUAACGACAAUGCGAGUGAAAAACUCGCACGCCGAAAGACCAAGGUUUCCUGCGCAACGUUAAUCGACGCAGGGUUAGUCGGCCCCUAAGGCGAGGCAGAAAUGCGUAGUCGAUGGGAAACGGGUUAAUAUUCCCGUACUUCUAAUUACUGCGAUGGAGGGACGGAGAAGGCUAGGCCAGCACGGCGUUGGUUGUCCGUGUUUAAGGUGGUAGGCUGGAAUCUUAGGUAAAUCCGGGAUUCAAGGCCGAGAACUGAUGACGAGUCGUCUUUUAGAGAUGAAGUGGUUGAUGCCAUGCUUCCAGGAAAAGCUUCUAAGCUUCAGGUAACUAGGAACCGUACCCCAAACCGACACAGGUGGUUGGUAGAGAAUACCAAGGCGCUUGAGAGAACUCGGGUGAAGGAAC